Molecule: transfer RNA, 35 nt
Filed under: Mesocentrotus nudus
Lineage: Eukaryota; Metazoa; Echinodermata; Echinoidea; Camarodonta; Strongylocentrotidae
Description: tRNA-Gln
Source: RNAcentral
UUAGGGAGGUGGGAGUUGAACCCACGACAAAGAAG